RNAcentral lists this ribosomal RNA (901 nucleotides) under Firmicutes bacterium 00YDM. RNAcentral describes it as "bacterial SSU rRNA". It matches the Rfam family "Bacterial small subunit ribosomal RNA", at positions 48 to 935 of the family's 1533-position model. Lineage: Bacteria; Bacillati; Bacillota. The record is from RNAcentral.
CUAAUACAUGCAGUCGAGCGAAUGAUGAAGAAGCUUGCUUCUUCUGAUUUAGCGGCGGACGGGUGAGUAACACGUGGGCAACCUACCUAGUAGAUUGGGAUAACUCCGGGAAACCGGGGCUAAUACCGAAUAAUCCAUUUUGUCACAUGGCAAAAUGCUGAAAGGCGGUUUCGGCUGUCACUACUAGAUGGGCCCGCGGUGCAUUAGCUAGUUGGUGGGGUAAUGGCCUACCAAGGCAACGAUGCAUAGCCGACCUGAGAGGGUGAUCGGCCACAUUGGGACUGAGACACGGCCCAAACUCCUACGGGAGGCAGCAGUAGGGAAUCUUCCACAAUGGACGAAAGUCUGAUGGAGCAACGCCGCGUGAGUGAUGAAGGUUUUCGGAUCGUAAAACUCUGUUGUAAGGGAAGAACAAGUACGUUAGUAACUGAACGUACCUUGACGGUACCUUAUUAGAAAGCCACGGCUAACUACGUGCCAGCAGCCGCGGUAAUACGUAGGUGGCAAGCGUUGUCCGGAUUUAUUGGGCGUAAAGCGCGCGCAGGUGGUUUCUUAAGUCUGAUGUGAAAGCCCACGGCUCAACCGUGGAGGGUCAUUGGAAACUGGGAGACUUGAGUGCAGAAGAGGAAAGUGGAAUUCCAAGUGUAGCGGUGAAAUGCGUAGAGAUUUGGAGGAACACCAGUGGCGAAGGCGACUUUCUGGUCUGUAACUGACACUGAGGCGCGAAAGCGUGGGGAGCAAACAGGAUUAGAUACCCUGGUAGUCCACGCCGUAAACGAUGAGUGCUAAGUGUUAGGGGGUUUCCGCCCCUUAGUGCUGCAGCUAACGCAUUAAGCACUCCGCCUGGGGAGUACGGCCGCAAGGUUGAAACUCAAUAUAUUGACACCGGCAAAAGAACACC